RNAcentral lists this ribosomal RNA (229 nucleotides) under uncultured Anoxybacillus sp. RNAcentral describes it as "partial 16S ribosomal RNA". It matches the Rfam family "Bacterial small subunit ribosomal RNA", at positions 1150 to 1382 of the family's 1533-position model. Lineage: Bacteria; Bacillati; Bacillota; Bacilli; Caryophanales; Anoxybacillaceae. The record is from RNAcentral.
UGCCGGCUAAAAGUCGGAGGAAGUGGGAUGACGUCAAAUCAUCAUGCCCCUUAUGACCUGGGCUACACACGUGCUACAAUGGCGGUACAAAGGGUCGCGAACCCGCGAGGGGAGCCAAUCCCAAAAAGCCGCUCUCAGUUCGGAUUGCAGGCUGCAACUCGCCUGCAUGAAGCCGGAAUCGCUAGUAAUCGCGGAUCAGCAUGCCGCGGUGAAUACGUUCCCGGGCCUU